GCGACCCCAGGUCAGGCGGGACUACCCGCUGAGUUUAAGCAUAUA
This 45-nucleotide ribosomal RNA is filed under the name Dupontia fulva. RNAcentral's name for it is "Arctophila fulva partial 26S ribosomal RNA". The record is from RNAcentral. RNAcentral also lists the same sequence under 1 other name. Lineage: Eukaryota; Viridiplantae; Streptophyta; Magnoliopsida; Poales; Poaceae.